This 335-nucleotide unclassified non-coding RNA is filed under the name soil metagenome. RNAcentral's name for it is "partial contains 5.8S ribosomal RNA, internal transcribed spacer 2, and large subunit ribosomal RNA". The stretch from base 1 to 120 matches the Rfam family "5.8S ribosomal RNA", at positions 35 to 154 of the family's 154-position model. The record is from RNAcentral.
GAUGAAGAACGUAGUGAAAUGCGAUAAGUAAUGUGAAUUGCAGAAUUCAGUGAAUCAUCGAAUCUUUGAACGCACAUUGCGCCCGCCAGUAUUCUGGCGGGCAUGCCUGUUCGAGCGUCAUUUCAACCAUCAAGCCCCCGGCUUGUGUUGGGGACCUGCGGCUGCCGCAGGCCCUGAAAACCAGUGGCGGGCUCGCUAGUCACUCCGAGCGUAGUAAUACAUCUCGCUCAGGGCGUGCUGCGGGUUCCGGCCGUUAAAAGCCUUAUUUUACCCAAGGUUGACCUCGGAUCAGGUAGGAAGACCCGCUGAACUUAAGCAUAUCAAUAAGCGGAGGA